AUUCUGGGAGUUGAAGUCCACCAGUCUUAAAGUUGCCAAGGUGGGAGAAAGACUGAUCUACGGUACAAAUUAAAUAUAUUGGAGUCCAAAAGAAUGGUAGAUCAGGACUCCGCCACUUUGCUAUGAUAGUCUGCACAUGCCUUUCUACUUCUCUACUUUUUUGCUUUUUAGCAAAACCCAGCUGAGUCGCCCUUCCAUGCUUUGUAUCUCAAAGGUAUCAAAUUAAGCCCCUCGUGCCAGCAUUUUUAAAGUGCCACAAUGGGCAAGAUUUUUGCCAUAUAUUCUUCUCCAGCACUACCUACCACAACAAUUGACAAAAUGGUGCACCCACAAUGGCACCAUCAGGUGAACGCUGACGUCACAGACUUGGAUUCCCACGCCUGAUGCAAAUUCAGGAGUCCCAGCGUUCGAAUAAUGAGACGGUCACGCCUGUGUUAUCUCUGUCCACCUCCCUUCAAGGAUGCCGCUGUCAAUCACGGGGUGUCCUUUUCGAUCUACUGGCCUUACAGUAUUGAAUUCUAAACAAGACAAGUUUAUAAAUAACUUAAAUAAGUCAAUAGUGAAACGGCCACAUUUCUAAGGACAUGGUGAAGAAUCUCAGAAUUGUUGCUGAUCAGAACCGGGUAGGAGAUAGUGAGGCAAAACGAUGUACACAACAGCUGCAGUCAUAACAACAGAGUUUACAAACCACUGAAAAUCACAGGUCCAUUAAAUUCUUCACUAGCAUUAGGUUGAGGAAGGGCAAGGAAGAUCUUGGAUCAGGUUAAGCAGCCAUGUUCCUUUGCUAUUACAGACCAAAAAAACCCUAAGCCACUAGGUGUGUGUGUGUAUAGUCUCACGUUACAUACACCCCUCGCAGUUUUCUCUAUAUUUACUCACCAAGACCUGUUUCCAAUUUACAUCCUUUGAAACCCUAUAUAUUUAUGACAUUUAUUCUCUCCACCUUUGGGCCUCUUUCAUUUGUUGCUCAAGAGUUCACCAGGAGAACAAACUCUGCUGAGAAAAAUCUUCAGCAAGGAGGGAAAGAAAUCAAUGCGAAAUCAACUAUGAUUAAUGCCGGUUUGACCAUUUUCCAACAUUAAUCACAUUCCUGGGCUCUGGAGCGUGCAAAGCGGAAAAGUCUAUACUCAUAAAGAGUGUAAUUGGGAACAUUCCUUCUCCUUACUCCGAGUUGGGGAGGCGGUGGGUGGUAGCGCAGCUCGGAAUUACAAAGCCGCAGAAUCGUCUGUGUUGAAUAAAUAUGGAUUUCUUGGUCCCAAAGUUGGACGCGCGUUGAAAAAGACACAAACGCAAGGAGAACUCAUGAGGAGCUGCCCUUCAUUCAAACUUGAAACAGCUGCUUCUCCAGCUACAGUUCUGUGCAGGACUUAAAUUGCAGCCCAGCUGUAUAACAGACACCCAAGGAUAUUGCUGACUCGCAAUCGCGCCCUCCC
Molecule: non-coding RNA, 1433 nt
Organism: Notechis scutatus (mainland tiger snake)
Lineage: Eukaryota; Metazoa; Chordata; Lepidosauria; Squamata; Elapidae
Source: RefSeq, a predicted model, not a curated record